UGGAGGGGGAUAACUACUGGAAACGGUAGCUAAUACCGCAUAACGUCGCAAGACCAAAGAGGGGGACCUUCGGGCCUCUUGCCAUCGGAUGUGCCCAGAUGGGAUUAGCUAGUAGGUGGGGUAACGGCUCACCUAGGCGACGAUCCCUAGCUGGUCUGAGAGGAUGACCAGCCACACUGGAACUGAGACACGGUCCAGACUCCUACGGGAGGCAGCAGUGGGGAAUAUUGCACAAUGGGCGCAA
RNAcentral lists this ribosomal RNA (244 nucleotides) under Shigella flexneri. RNAcentral's name for it is "partial 16S ribosomal RNA". It matches the Rfam family "Bacterial small subunit ribosomal RNA", at positions 134 to 380 of the family's 1533-position model. Lineage: Bacteria; Pseudomonadati; Pseudomonadota; Gammaproteobacteria; Enterobacterales; Enterobacteriaceae. The record is from RNAcentral.